GCUCCUAUGGUCUAGUGAUCAGGAUACCUGGCUCUCACCCAGGAGGCUCGGGUUCGAUUCCCGGUACCAGAA
This 72-nucleotide transfer RNA is filed under the name Zootermopsis nevadensis. It matches the Rfam family "tRNA". Rfam says of the family: Transfer RNA (tRNA) molecules are approximately 80 nucleotides in length. Their secondary structure includes four short double-helical elements and three loops (D, anti-codon, and T loops). The record is from Rfam by way of RNAcentral. Lineage: Eukaryota; Metazoa; Arthropoda; Insecta; Blattodea; Termopsidae.